RNAcentral lists this ribosomal RNA (505 nucleotides) under uncultured bacterium. RNAcentral's name for it is "partial 16S ribosomal RNA". It matches the Rfam family "Bacterial small subunit ribosomal RNA", at positions 28 to 507 of the family's 1533-position model. The record is from RNAcentral.
GACGAACGCUGGCGGCGUGCCUAAUACAUGCAAGUAGAACGCACAGUUUAUACCGUAGCUUGCUACACCAUAGACUGUGAGUUGCGAACGGGUGAGUAACGCGUAGGUAACCUGCCUGGUAGCGGGGGAUAACUAUUGGAAACGAUAGCUAAUACCGCAUAAUAUUAAUUAUUGCAUGAUAAUUAAUUGAAAGGUGCAAUUGCACCACUACCAGAUGGACCUGCGUUGUAUUAGCUAGUAGGUGAGGUAACGGCUCACCUAGGCGACGAUACAUAGCCGACCUGAGAGGGUGAUCGGCCACACUGGGACUGAGACACGGCCCAGACUCCUACGGGAGGGAGCAGUAGGGAAUCUUCGGCAAUGGACGAAAGUCUGACCGAGCAACGCCGCGUGAGUGAAGAAGGGUUUCGGAUCGUAAAGCUCUGUUGUAAGAGAAGAACGGGUGUGAGAGUGGAAAGUUCACACUGUGACGGUAUCUUACCAGAAAGGGACGGCUAACUACGUG